UACGUAGGGGGCAAGCGUUGUCCGGAAUCAUUGGGCGUAAAGAGCGUGUAGGCGGCCCGAUAAGUCCGCUGUGAAAGUCCAGGGCUCAACCCUGGAAUGCCGGUGGAUACUGUCGGGCUCGAGUCCGGAAGAGGUGAGUGGAAUUCCUGGUGUAGCGGUGAAAUGCGCAGAUAUCAGGAAGAACACCCGUGGCGAAGGCGGCUCUCUGGGACGGUACUGACGCUGAGACGCGAAAGCGUGGGGAGCGAACAGG
RNAcentral lists this ribosomal RNA (253 nucleotides) under uncultured bacterium. Its description in RNAcentral is "partial 16S ribosomal RNA". It matches the Rfam family "Bacterial small subunit ribosomal RNA", at positions 524 to 776 of the family's 1533-position model. The record is from RNAcentral.